UCCAGGUUUUGUUCAAGUCCUGGUUUAGUUAUUCCCCUCACAAGUAGAUUCCAAGUGUUUGAACCUCAGGUGUCUCUCAGAGGGGGAGAAACCCGACGCCAUCAGACUGAAUGGACCAUCUAAGAGUGGCACAGGCUCAGCUGUCUUGCUUAUUUCCGUAUUGAAUUCUCCUUUUCUACGUUCUACCAGUGAUAGCACUCCUGUAAAGUUUCUUUGCUUCCUUGUUGACUCCUCCCUGCCGCAGCGUUAUCCACUGACUUACUAUUUUAACUCCAUAUCGGCCUGUCCCAUUUCUGUGGGGUACCCAGAGCAUUGCAGUUGCGAUGCUGCUAGGGAAACCCUAAAGCUUAAGCUUUGAGAAGUAUUUCCACGUGACCGUUGGAGGUUUUUGAUUCAAAUGCGUCAUUCUUACCUUGUAGUCAUUCAGGCUUGAAAGGGCAAAGCUAUGGAGAGAGAAAGCUGCCUGCACAUUAGUGAAUACCUCAGCCCAAUGCAAUGAAUGCACUGCUGAAAAGCAUGGGAUAUCCUGCCAGAAAUCUGUCCCUGUGUGCAAACACUCCCGCUUCCUUACCAUUGCACCUGCGCCGGCUGAAGCGUGCAGUGGGAGCACGCCGCUUGACUGGUUCUGGUCCCGGGAAUCUCUGUCUCACAACGUCCCAUUGCCUGUCAUGAACACGUGCCAUGAAUUGAGCAAGAUUAGGGUUUUCUGUGAAGUAAAGAAAGCAACAGGUAGAAGCAGCCAAUUCAUAUGGAAAUCUGAAUCUAUAGGGAAUGUGGCUGUGAUGCAUCUUCUGCAUCAAGUCAAAUAUCCAGGAAGAUUUACCAUUUCUCCUAGCUGACCGCAGGGCUUGUGCAGUAUUUUUUCAAAGACCUGGCUAGUCAAGUUGGUGUUUGAGUCUUUGGAGUAAUUGGGUAGCCACUAGCAGACACAAUGAUGAGCACAGCACCAGACAGAGCAUCUCAUAAGUGUAUUAGCGUGCAGUUUAAUCCCUUAUGUAUGUGUGAACCCUUGGGAAGAGCUACUUGAUGAAGACAAGAUACCAUCAGUUCCUGUGCGAGGAGUACGUAUUUGCCUUUGCUAUACUCUGAAGGAAAUAAUUGAUUUGGAAGACCUGACGGAAAUACCUGAAACCUAUUUAGAUAUUAACCUAGUUUUGGGUGAGGACUGUGAGGCAUAUACUGAUCAGCAUGGCAAGGCGCAACCUGCAAAAUCCUGUCCCAACUUCUGCUGUGGAGAUUGCAUGCAUCGAUACUGUUGCUCUAACGUGCUAUUGAAAUUUGAUGAAGAACAACAGUUUAAAUGUAAUCUGCUUGAUGGAAGGACCUCUGGCUCAAGCCAUGUAAAUUAUCUGCAGUUCCGUGCAGACUUUGAUGAUUACAUAGACUCUGGCCCCAGGCUGAACAGUAAAUGUAAACUUGCAUCAUUUGUGAUUGUAACCUGCAUCGCAGAGCAUUUGUUUUCAUCCUCACCGUGUUCACAGUGAAGAAGCUAGUUAAAGCUGACAAAGCAGUUGCUGGUUCCUGUUGACGAUCUCUCUCCUGCCUGCUUCAGGCAGUGGGCUGAUGCUGAUGCGGGUUCCUUUGACUCUGAAACCAAGAUAGAAAGAGAGAUUGAAAAACGCUGUUCUAGCACAAGAGGCAGAUGGGCAUGGUCGGGUGUAGCAGCAUGCUCUUCUAACGACAGAAGGCUGUUCCACGGCGAAACACAAGACAACCUGGCGUAAACGUGCAGAGGCACAGCAAGAUUCAUCCCUGGGGCUACAUUCAGGCAUGUACUUAUCUACUGUAUGUACUUAUAAGAGUAGGAUGUUUCCUUUUCUAGCUCUGUGUGCUUUGCUGCACUGCCCUUCUUUGUACCUCUAUGAAAUGUAACUAUGAAAACACUAAGUUUUGACACCCAGGUUGACUCUGGAGGGAGUCAAAAGCAACUGUAGGCAGGGGAGCCCUCAGUGAAGGCACUGGAAGAGUCUUUCCUUGAGCAUGCUUAAAAGACCCCGGGGUUGUUAUUCACUGAGAUCUAUGAGAGUUGAGGACAUGGGUUCCAUAGCUAGAUCCAGCUCAACAGUUUUUCGUAUACUUAAAUAAAACAGUCUUGGCCCAGGAUGUAGCCA
Apteryx rowi (Okarito brown kiwi) is the source of this 2111-nucleotide long non-coding RNA. Lineage: Eukaryota; Metazoa; Chordata; Aves; Apterygiformes; Apterygidae. The record is from Ensembl.